AGUGAACGCUGGCGGUAGGCCUAACACAUGCAAGUCGAACGGCAGCACAGUAAGAGCUUGCUCUUACGGGUGGCGAGUGGCGGACGGGUGAGGAAUACAUCGGAAUCUACUUUUUCGUGGGGGAUAACGUAGGGAAACUUACGCUAAUACCGCAUACGAACUACGGGUGAAAGAAGGGGAUCUUCGGACCUUGCGCGAUUGAAUGAGCCGAUGUCGGAUUAGCUAGUUGGCGGGGUAAAGGCCCACCAAGGCGACGAUCCGUAGCUGGUCUGAGAGGAUGAUCAGCCACACUGGAACUGAGACACGGUCCAGACUCCUACGGGAGGCAGCAGUGGGGAAUAUUGGACAAUGGGCGCAAGCCUGAUCCAGCCAUACCGCGUGGGUGAAGAAGGCCUUCGGGUUGUAAAGCCCUUUUGUUGGGAAAGAAAAGCAGCAGGUUAAUACCCCGCUGUUCUGACGGUACCCAAAGAAUAAGCACCGGCUAACUUCGUG
This 492-nucleotide ribosomal RNA is filed under the name uncultured bacterium. Its description in RNAcentral is "partial 16S ribosomal RNA". It matches the Rfam family "Bacterial small subunit ribosomal RNA", at positions 29 to 507 of the family's 1533-position model. The record is from RNAcentral.